GAAAUUUCUCCCUUCAACUCAGUAACAUCAGUACACAGAUACAACACUCUUAAACUGAAUUUUAACCAAAAGAUAGCAGAGAGGAGCCAAAAAAGCUUCAUAAUAGUAAAAAACAGAAGUUGCAAAACAAAAAAUGCAGAACAAGGUAAGAAUACUAAAUAUAUCUAAUGAGAAUUUAUGAUCAAGAUAUGGAUAGGUUCCUGCUCCUUUGAUUGGUGACUAAUGCAUUUCCUAAAAUUUAAACUUAGCCAGUUUUCUCACUUUUCUCCAGUCCCAAAUUAUUCGGAAAUGAUUGACAAGCAAAACGGGAGCUGACACGAAAGGUAAGAGA
RNAcentral lists this unclassified non-coding RNA (331 nucleotides) under Hevea brasiliensis (rubber tree). The record is from RNAcentral. Lineage: Eukaryota; Viridiplantae; Streptophyta; Magnoliopsida; Malpighiales; Euphorbiaceae.